This 107-nucleotide small nuclear RNA is filed under the name Phocoena sinus (vaquita). The record is from RNAcentral. Lineage: Eukaryota; Metazoa; Chordata; Mammalia; Artiodactyla; Phocoenidae.
GUGCUUGCUUCGGCAGCACAUAUACUAAAAUUGGAACGACACAGAGAAGAUUAGCAUGGCCCCUGUGCAAGGAUGCCACGCAAAUUCGUGAAGUGUUCCAUAUUUUU